GUUAGGGUAUCCAAGUUCGGUUAAAGGGAAAAGGCUGUAAACCUUUUGCUACAAUGCUUCACAGGUUCGAAUCCUGUCCCUACCA
This 85-nucleotide transfer RNA is filed under the name Acanthamoeba castellanii. RNAcentral describes it as "tRNA-Tyr". It matches the Rfam family "tRNA". From Rfam's summary of the family: Transfer RNA (tRNA) molecules are approximately 80 nucleotides in length. Their secondary structure includes four short double-helical elements and three loops (D, anti-codon, and T loops). Further hydrogen bonds mediate the characteristic L-shaped molecular structure. tRNAs have two regions of fundamental functional importance: the anti-codon, which is responsible for specific mRNA codon recognition, and the 3' end, to which the tRNAs corresponding amino acid is attached (by aminoacyl-tRNA synthetases). tRNAs cope with the degeneracy of the genetic code in two manners: having more than one tRNA (with a specific anti-codon) for a particular amino acid; and 'wobble' base-pairing, i.e. permitting non-standard base-pairing at the 3rd anti-codon position. Lineage: Eukaryota; Discosea; Longamoebia; Acanthamoebidae. RNAcentral also lists the same sequence under 1 other name. The record is from RNAcentral.